This 65-nucleotide transfer RNA is filed under the name Dysmicohermes ingens. RNAcentral describes it as "tRNA-Phe". Lineage: Eukaryota; Metazoa; Arthropoda; Insecta; Megaloptera; Corydalidae. The record is from RNAcentral.
AUUUAAAUAGCUUAUAUUUAGAGCAUAACAUUGAAGAUGUUAGAGAGGUUAUAAACCUUUAAAUA